Molecule: long non-coding RNA, 2040 nt
Organism: Pezoporus occidentalis (night parrot)
Lineage: Eukaryota; Metazoa; Chordata; Aves; Psittaciformes; Psittacidae
Exons: 4
Source: RefSeq, a predicted model, not a curated record
AAAAAGAAAUCCUAGUGAAAGGUGGGGGUGCUGGCUCUUGUUCUUCUUGCUCAUGGUGGUUAAGCCCAGCAAAGGCCCGUCAGCUCCUGGCACGGCUGCCAGAGAGCUCAGUCCCACUGCAUGUUUGAGCAGGUCACAGGGAAACGUUUGCCAUCCCUAUGGACAAGCUCUCCAAUCUGGUAUUUGUCCUGGAAGAUGCAAAGAGGGGGAGAGCUGCCUCUCUGCUGUUUCCUAGACCUGAGGUAUUGAGGACGUAAAUCAAAUCCUUGUACUGGAGGAGCAUCACAUGGGAAACAUACACUUCAAAAGAGACUUUAAUGGAGGAAUGUUUCAAAAGAGCAAGGCUGGACCUAUCAAGGGGCAGCAGUAGCCCUGUGUGGGGAAAAGUGCACAGGGAACUCUCUGGUGGGCUCUGUUUAUUGCAGAGGCCAACCAGCCUCCGAGAGCGACCAGGGUGGGUUUGGGUGCAGUGGAGAACGCGGGUGUUUGAAUCCCAGCCACAUCUGCUCCCUUUCUUCUUAUUCUUGAUGAUGACAGUCAAAGGGACAGGGCUGAUGAACUGUGCUUAUUAAGUUGACUUGGUGGUGAUGAGAAUGCUGUUGACAAAAAGGUUGUGGUAGACUUCAAAUGCACAUACUGCUGUCCUGAAGUCAGAGCUGCUCUUGCAAAGAGUUGGAAUUACUUUACCACUGAUGCAGGGUUCCCAGGGAGAGCCUUUUCAUCUGGAGGUGAGCACAGAGCAGGAGUUGAAAGCAAAGUGGAGAAACACAUCCACUGCCUCCAUAGGUGGGAGGUGGAGCACAUCAAAACAUCCCCCUGCAAGGGACCUGCUGAAUGAGGGGAUGAAAGGGAUGUGCUGGAGCAGCAGGCCCAUCUGCUCGCUAACAGGUGUUAUUCACAGCUCUCUAGAACCAUGGGGGAAUCUCCCAUUGCUGCACUAUGCUCCUCAUUGAUUCAUCUUGCCAUGAACUUUUGAGUAGGCUGCUUGCUGCUCCAUCCAGCCUACUCUCUAAUAGGAUGGACCCAGUCAAGUGGUCCUUAAUGGUACACAGACAUCCUAAUAACUUUGGUAAAUAGAAUUCUGGAGGUGACUGGCACUGUCUGUAGGUGCCAUAAGGGGGGAAAAGCAUUUCUAGAAUCCCAGGUGUCACUGCUGAAAUGUAUCAGAGAUUAACUACUGCUCUCCCUGCUCCUCUAUAGUGUUCUUCUCAGAGGAGCUCCCUCAGCAUGACAGACAAUACACUUCGGGUUUCCCUAGGUAAGAAUUUGACACCUUUCUCUGUACUUUUGCAGUAACUCCCUUCGUCCUGUCUGAAAGUCCCUCUCUGCAUCAGCUGUGCAUUGCUCCCACAAGAGCUUGUCUUCAGCAGGGAAGCCAUUUCAUCACGUUCCCUUACUGCUGGCUCCCCAAAGACAGAGUUACAGAGGGAGUCGGCAGAUCUAACGGGUCUUUGUUUUGUUGAAUGGGUCCGUACACGUGGGAAGAUUUGUCCAUUCUCUGCCCUUUAUGAAGUUACUUCAAGUUAAAAGCAGUAUUUAUUUUUUCUUGGUAGAUAAAGAGUAAAGAAGUAAGUGAAACAUCAUUUACGUUCAGGAGCAGCUGAGCUGGGAGCCGUGCUAGCCACGCCAGCAGCCUCAGCAGGAAUUAGGUUAUGUUAUAAAGUGAGUUUAAGUCUGAUAGCCAAAUGGAGCCUCUAAGCCAUCAGUCUGGUUAUUUGUGCUAAGGUCAAUAGUGUCCAGGAAGAGUAAUGAACAAAUCCUGCUCUUCUGCAGAUGAAUAGCCCUUUUUGCCUGUUUACCAGCCCAGCACUGUGUGUUUCCCAAGUGGGACCCCAACAAAUGCUGCUUUUGGCCAAGUUUUCUGUGCAGUGGGGUAACAGAAAGAUUUUAGGGCCCAGUUAUCAACAGGUUAUCAUCAGCGGAGUAUCUAAUCCCAGUAGUACAUUAAAUGAUGUGAAGUAAUUUGUGCUGUUUGUAACAGCUCUUCUAAUAGGCAAUGGAUUCAGGUGGAGCCAGGUGAAGGUUUGUGUCCUGGCUGCC